This 20-nucleotide non-coding RNA is filed under the name Arabidopsis thaliana (thale cress). The record is from RNAcentral. Lineage: Eukaryota; Viridiplantae; Streptophyta; Magnoliopsida; Brassicales; Brassicaceae.
UAUUCCAGGGUGCAUCGUAG